RNAcentral lists this ribosomal RNA (230 nucleotides) under uncultured bacterium. Its description in RNAcentral is "partial 16S ribosomal RNA". It matches the Rfam family "Bacterial small subunit ribosomal RNA", at positions 118 to 346 of the family's 1533-position model. The record is from RNAcentral.
UGAGGAACAUGACCUUCGGCGGGGGAUAGCCGGCCCAACGGCCGGGUAAUACCGCGUACGACCACAUGGGGACAUCCCUGAGUGGUGAAAGCAGCAAUGCGCCGAUGGAGUGCCUCGCGGCCUAUCAGCUAGUUGGUGAGGUAACGGCUCACCAAGGCGACGACGGGUAGCUGGUCUGAGAGGAUGGCCAGCCACAUUGGGACUGAGACACGGCCCAGACCUCUACGGGA